UGCAGUCGAGGGGUAACGUGAGUGCUUGCACUUGACGACGACCGGCGCACGGGUGCGUAACGCGUAUAGAACCUACCUUAUAGUAAGGGAUAGCCCAGAGAAAUUUGGAUUAAUACCUUAUAGUAUGAUAAGAUGGCAUCAUUUAAUCAUUAAAGAUUUAUUGCUAUAAGAUGGCUAUGCGUUCUAUUAGCUAGUUGGUAUGGUAACGGCAUACCAAGGCAACGAUAGAUAGGGGUCCUGAGAGGGAGAUCCCCCACACUGGUACUGAGACACGGACCAGACUCCUACGGGAGGCAGCAGUGAGGAAUAUUGGACAAUGGAGGCAACUCUGAUCCAGCCAUGCCGCGUGUAGGAAGACUGCCCUAUGGGUUGUAAACUACUUUUAUAGAGGAAGAAACAGUUCCACGUGUGGAACUCUGACGGUACUCUACGAAUAAGGAUCGGCUAACUCCGUGCCAGCAGCCGCGGUAAUACGGAGGAUCCAAGCGUUAUCCGGAAUCAUUGGGUUUAAAGGGUCCGUAGGCGGGUCUGUAAGUCAGUGGUGAAAGUUUUCGGCUCAACCGGAAAAUUGCCAUUGAUACUGCAGGUCUUGAAUCAUUAUGAAGUGGUUAGAAUAAGUAGUGUAGCGGUGAAAUGCAUAGAUAUUACUUAGAAUACCGAUUGCGAAGGCAGAUCACUAAUAAUGUAUUGACGCUAAGGGACGAAAGCGUGGGUAGCGAACAGGAUUAGAUACCCUGGUAGUCCACGCCGUAAACGAUGGUUACUAGCUGUUCGGACUUCGGUCUGAGUGGCUAAGCGAAAGUGAUAAGUAACCCACCUGGGGAGUACGUUCGCAAGAAUGAAACUCAAAGGAAUUGACGGGGGCCCGCACAAGCGGUGGAGCAUGUGGUUUAAUUCGAUGAUACGCGAGGAACCCUUACCAGGGCUUUAAUGUAGUAUGACAGGUUUAGAGAUAGACUUUUUCUUCGGACAUAUUACAAGGUGCUGC
This 988-nucleotide ribosomal RNA is filed under the name Aquimarina sp. AD30. Its description in RNAcentral is "bacterial SSU rRNA". It matches the Rfam family "Bacterial small subunit ribosomal RNA", at positions 56 to 1044 of the family's 1533-position model. Lineage: Bacteria; Pseudomonadati; Bacteroidota; Flavobacteriia; Flavobacteriales; Flavobacteriaceae. The record is from RNAcentral.